Non-coding RNA from Pelobates cultripes (western spadefoot toad), 399 nucleotides. Lineage: Eukaryota; Metazoa; Chordata; Amphibia; Anura; Pelobatidae. The record is from the annotation of a GenBank genome assembly.
AAAAAGGGAAUCCGAAUAAUUCUAAAACGGAAGAAAACAUUUCAGUUCUAUCCUUAUUUUCACAGUUCCUCAAGAGACAGAGCGGAUUUAAUGGAGUAGGUAGAGAUUUUUGAGCUGAUCUAUAUAAAUGUUUCCAUUAUACAAACUACUUAAAGGGACACUAGUCACCAGAGCAACUACAGCUUAUUAUUUAUUCUGGUGAGUAUAAUCAGUCCCUGCAGGCUUUUUGCAGUAAAUUCUGUCUUUUCAGAGAAAAGCCAGUGUUUACAUUACAGCCUAGAGAUACCCCCACAGGCUACUAUUCCGGGGCAGUGCUGCACAGUGUGCAGCACUGACAUUGUAUCUCUUCCCUCUGAAUAGAGUGACUGAACUUUCCUCAUAGAGAUGCAGUGAUUCCAC